GGGUUGUGAGGUUAAGCGACUAAGCGUACACGGUGGAUGCCCUGGCAGUCAGAGGCGAUGAAGGGCGUGCUAAUCUGCGAUAAGCGCCGGUAAGGUGAUAUGAACCGUUAUAACCGGCGAUACCCGAAUGGGGAAACCCAGUGUGAUUCGUCACACUAUCAUUAACUGAAUCCAUAGGUUAAUGAGGCGAACCGGGGGAACUGAAACAUCUAAGUACCCCGAGGAAAAGAAAUCAACCGAGAUUCCCCCAGUAGCGGCGAGCGAACGGGGAGGAGCCCAGAGCCUGAAUCAGCAUGUGUGUUAGUGGAAGCGUCUGGAAAGGCGCGCGAUACAGGGUGACAGCCCCGUACACAAAAGCGCAUGUGCUGUGAGCUCGAUGAGUAGGGCGGGACACGUGGUAUCCUGUCUGAAUAUGGGGGGACCAUCCUCCAAGGCUAAAUACUCCUGACUGACCGAUAGUGAACCAGUACCGUGAGGGAAAGGCGAAAAGAACCCCGGCGAGGGGAGUGAAAAAGAACCUGAAACCGUGUACGUACAAGCAGUGGGAGCCCCACCACCAAAGCAUUCUCUGGUGUUGAAGGCCCUGCAAAGCAGCAUCGCGGUGGCGGAGCGUCGUUUGCGACGCCCAACACACAAAACAAGCGGUGAGUGCUUUGGGGUGGGGUGACUGCGUACCUUUUGUAUAAUGGGUCAGCGACUUAUAUUCUGUAGCAAGGUUAACCGAAUAGGGGAGCCGGAGGGAAACCGAGUCUUAAUUGGGCGUUAAGUUGCAGGGUAUAGACCCGAAACCCGGUGAUCUAGCCAUGGGCAGGUUGAAGGUUGGGUAACACUAACUGGAGGACCGAACCGACUAAUGUUGAAAAAUUAGCGGAUGACCUGUGGCUGGGGGUGAAAGGCCAAUCAAACCGGGAGAUAGCUGGUUCUCCCCGAAAGCUAUUUAGGUAGCGCCUCGUGAAUUCAUCUCCGGGGGUAGAGCACUGUUUCGGCUAGGGGGCCAUCCCGGCUUACCAACCCGAUGCAAACUGCGAAUACCGGAGAAUGUUAUCACGGGAGACACACGGCGGGUGCUAACGUCCGUCGUGAAGAGGGAAACAACCCAGACCGCCAGCUAAGGUCCCAAAGUCAUGGUUAAGUGGGAAACGAUGUGGGAAGGCCCAGACAGCCAGGAUGUUGGCUUAGAAGCAGCCAUCAUUUAAAGAAAGCGUAAUAGCUCACUGGUCGAGUCGGCCUGCGCGGAAGAUGUAACGGGGCUAAACCAUGCACCGAAGCUGCGGCAGCGAACGUAUCACUUAAAGCGAUUCAGCGGGUUACGAUUGACGGAGCGAAGCGACGUCAAAGCGUAUACAAAGUCGAGUCGGUUUAAGGAUACGUUCGUUGGGUAGGGGAGCGUUCUGUAAGCCUGUGAAGGUGUGUCGUGAGGCAUGCUGGAGGUAUCAGAAGUGCGAAUGCUGACAUAAGUAACGAUAAAGCGGGUGAAAAGCCCGCUCGCCGGAAGACCAAGGGUUCCUGUCCAACGUUAAUCGGGGCAGGGUGAGUCGACCCCUAAGGC
RNAcentral lists this ribosomal RNA (1549 nucleotides) under Salmonella enterica subsp. enterica serovar Infantis. RNAcentral describes it as "bacterial LSU rRNA". It matches the Rfam family "Bacterial large subunit ribosomal RNA", at positions 1 to 1397 of the family's 2925-position model. Lineage: Bacteria; Pseudomonadati; Pseudomonadota; Gammaproteobacteria; Enterobacterales; Enterobacteriaceae. The record is from RNAcentral.